CAAACAAUUGCUGACUGAAUCCAAGAGUUCAACAGAGAAGCUCAGAGGAUUUUUGUGCAAGCAACUGGUCAGUAAUGGCUGACCACCUGGGGUCUACCAGGGAAUACGAUAGUCCCUGGAGUGGUGCAGAACUGCAGGGCACUUCCCCUGUGCUGUCUGGAGUAACUUGUGUUGGUGAGCAGGGCUGCAGUGAGACCUGAUGUCUGCCCCCAGCCCACCGCUGGGUCCACAGUCAGACUGGAGGAUGUCUCUGGCUGCUGUGGACAGAGCAGCAGGAAGAAGAGCAGAGCAAGUAGUUUGGACGCUACUGAUAUAGGUAAAGCAGUUAACACUUUGGCCAACACAACAAAUAUUCAAUCAAAAGGACAUUAGAAGAAAAAAAACCCACUUCAAGGCAAACAACAUAAAGAAUUUCCAUAUGCCUCCCCUGUCAUUUCUUGGUGCUCUUGUCUGAGAUGAAUGUGGGGCCAAAUAAAAGCACUGGUCUGAUCCACUUAGGUGUCUCCUAAGGAACAUUAUAUUCAAUGUUGAAAAGGUAUAAAAGUCCAUCCCUAUCUGUAUAUCAAAAUCGUAUCAACUUAAAAUGACUCUAGUAAAUGAAGGAGUUCCUGGGUGGCUCAGUCAGUUGAGCAACCGACUUCGGCUCAAGUCAUGAUCUCACAGCUCGUGAGUUUGAGCCCCACGUCAGGCUCUGUACUGACAGCUCGGAGCCUGGAGCCUGCUUCACAUUCUGUGUCUCCCUCUUUCUCUGCCCCUAAUCCACUUGCAUUCUGUCUCU
Molecule: long non-coding RNA, 778 nt
Organism: Acinonyx jubatus (cheetah)
Lineage: Eukaryota; Metazoa; Chordata; Mammalia; Carnivora; Felidae
Exons: 3
Source: RefSeq, a predicted model, not a curated record